UACAGCCACAUCACAUUGAAACACCAGUUCCUGUAAGAUCACUGAAGUUAAAGAAUGUAGAGCCUGGUUAGUACCUGGAUGGGUGACUGCUUAGGAAUACCAGGUUCUGUAU
Molecule: non-coding RNA, 112 nt
Organism: Acanthosepion pharaonis
Lineage: Eukaryota; Metazoa; Mollusca; Cephalopoda; Sepiida; Sepiidae
Source: the annotation of a GenBank genome assembly